UGCGGAACUGGCGGAAUUGGUAGACGCGCUAGAUUCAGGUUCUAGUGGGAGUUUUAUCCCUUGCGAGUUCAAGUCUCGCGUUCCGCAUC
Molecule: transfer RNA, 89 nt
Filed under: Picosynechococcus sp. NKBG15041c
Lineage: Bacteria; Bacillati; Cyanobacteriota; Cyanophyceae; Chroococcales; Geminocystaceae
Also listed under: 1 other name
Description: tRNA-Leu
Rfam family: tRNA
About the family: Transfer RNA (tRNA) molecules are approximately 80 nucleotides in length. Their secondary structure includes four short double-helical elements and three loops (D, anti-codon, and T loops). Further hydrogen bonds mediate the characteristic L-shaped molecular structure. tRNAs have two regions of fundamental functional importance: the anti-codon, which is responsible for specific mRNA codon recognition, and the 3' end, to which the tRNAs corresponding amino acid is attached (by aminoacyl-tRNA synthetases). tRNAs cope with the degeneracy of the genetic code in two manners: having more than one tRNA (with a specific anti-codon) for a particular amino acid; and 'wobble' base-pairing, i.e. permitting non-standard base-pairing at the 3rd anti-codon position.
Source: RNAcentral